RNAcentral lists this ribosomal RNA (221 nucleotides) under uncultured Gardnerella sp. Its description in RNAcentral is "partial 16S ribosomal RNA". It matches the Rfam family "Bacterial small subunit ribosomal RNA", at positions 134 to 355 of the family's 1533-position model. Lineage: Bacteria; Bacillati; Actinomycetota; Actinomycetes; Bifidobacteriales; Bifidobacteriaceae. The record is from RNAcentral.
UGCUCCAGAAUAGCUCUUGGAAACGGGUGGUAAUGCUGGAUGCUCCAACUUGACGCAUGUCUUGUUGGGAAAGUGUUUAGUGGCAUGGGAUGGGGUCGCGUCCUAUCAGCUUGUAGGCGGGGUAAUGGCCCACCUAGGCUUCGACGGGUAGCCGGCCUGAGAGGGCGGACGGCCACAUUGGGACUGAGAUACGGCCCAGACUCCUACGGGAGGCAGCAGCU